Molecule: ribosomal RNA, 345 nt
Filed under: uncultured bacterium
Lineage: Bacteria
Description: bacterial SSU rRNA
Rfam family: Bacterial small subunit ribosomal RNA
Source: RNAcentral
GAUGAACGCUAGCGGCAGGCUUAAUACAUGCAAGUCGAGGGGCAGCAGGGGUAGCAAUACUCGCUGGCGACCGGCAAACGGGUGCGGAACACGUACGCAACCUUCCCAAAACUGGUGAAUAGCCCUCCGAAAGGAGGAUUAAUACACCGUAAGAUAAUGAAGUGGCAUCACUUUAUUAUUAUAGCUCCGGUCGGUUUUGGAUGGGCGUGCGCCUGAUUGGGGUAGUUGGCGGGGUAACGGCCCACCAAGCCUGCGAUCAGUAACUGGUGUGAGAGCACGACCAGUCACACGGGCACUGAGACACGGGCCCGACUCCGUACGGGAGGCAGCAGUAAGGAAUAUUGG